RNAcentral lists this ribosomal RNA (446 nucleotides) under Serratia symbiotica. RNAcentral's name for it is "bacterial SSU rRNA". It matches the Rfam family "Bacterial small subunit ribosomal RNA", at positions 15 to 457 of the family's 1533-position model. Lineage: Bacteria; Pseudomonadati; Pseudomonadota; Gammaproteobacteria; Enterobacterales; Yersiniaceae. The record is from RNAcentral.
GAUCAUGGCUCAGAUUGAACGCUGGCGGCAGGCCUAACACAUGCAAGUCGAGCGGUAGCACAAGAGAGCUUGCUCUCUGGGUGACGAGCGGCGGACGGGUGAGUAAUGUCUGGGAAACUGCCUGAUGGCGGGGGAUAACUAGUGGAAACGGUAGCUAAUACCGCAUAACGUCGCAAGACCAAAGUGGGGGACCUUCGGGCCUCACGCCAUCAGAUGUGCCCAGGUGGGAUUAGCUGGUAGGUGGGGUAACGGCUCACCUAGGCGACGAUCCCUAGCUGGUCUGAGAGGAUGACCAGCCACACUGGAACUGAGACACGGUCCAGACUCCUACGGGAGGCAGCAGUGGGGAAUAUUGCACAAUGGGCGCAAGCCUGAUGCAGCCAUGCCGCGUGUGUGAAGAAGGCCUUCGGGUUGUAAAGCACUUUCAGCGAGGAGGAAGGUAAUGU